GAUGAACGCUGGCGGCGUGCCUAAUACAUGCAAGUCGAGCGAACAGACGAGGAGCUUGCUCCUCUGACGUUAGCGGCGGACGGGUGAGUAACACGUGGAUAACCUACCUAUAAGACUGGGAUAACUUCGGGAAACCGGAGCUAAUACCGGAUAAUAUAUUGAACCGCAUGGUUCAAUAGUGAAAGACGGUUUUGCUGUCACUUAUAGAUGGAUCCGCGCCGCAUUAGCUAGUUGGUAAGGUAACGGCUUACCAAGGCGACGAUGCGUAGCCGACCUGAGAGGGUGAUCGGCCACACUGGAACUGAGACACGGUCCAGACUCCUACGGGAGGCAGCAGUAGGGAAUCUUCCGCAAUGGGCGAAAGCCUGACGGAGCAACGCCGCGUGAGUGAUGAAGGUCUUCGGAUCGUAAAACUCCGUUAUUAGGGAAGAACAAGUGUGUAAGUAACUAUGCACGUCUUGACGGUACCUAAUCAGAAAGCCACGGCUAACUACGUG
This 497-nucleotide ribosomal RNA is filed under the name uncultured bacterium. Its description in RNAcentral is "partial 16S ribosomal RNA". It matches the Rfam family "Bacterial small subunit ribosomal RNA", at positions 28 to 507 of the family's 1533-position model. The record is from RNAcentral.